GCAUCCGUGGUGUAGUGGUUAUCAGAUCCGUUUAACACGCGGAAGGUCCCAAGUUCGAAACCUGGCGUUUGCA
RNAcentral lists this transfer RNA (73 nucleotides) under Stegodyphus mimosarum. It matches the Rfam family "tRNA". Rfam says of the family: Transfer RNA (tRNA) molecules are approximately 80 nucleotides in length. Their secondary structure includes four short double-helical elements and three loops (D, anti-codon, and T loops). Lineage: Eukaryota; Metazoa; Arthropoda; Arachnida; Araneae; Eresidae. The record is from Rfam by way of RNAcentral.